RNAcentral lists this ribosomal RNA (425 nucleotides) under uncultured bacterium. RNAcentral describes it as "bacterial SSU rRNA". It matches the Rfam family "Bacterial small subunit ribosomal RNA", at positions 917 to 1341 of the family's 1533-position model. The record is from RNAcentral.
GGGCCCGCACAAGCGGUGGAGCAUGUGGUUUAAUUCGAUGCAACGCGAAGAACCUUACCUGCCCUUGACAUCCUCGGAAGGGACCGGAAACGGACCCGUGCCUUCGGGAACCGAGAGACAGGUGCUGCAUGGCUGUCGUCAGCUCGUGUCGUGAGAUGUUGGGUUAAGUCCCGUAACGAGCGCAACCCCUAUCCUUAGUUGCCAGCACGUAAUGGUGGGAACUCUAUGGAAACUGCCCGUGAUAAGCGGGAGGAAGGUGUGGAUGACGUCAAGUCCUCAUGGCCCUUACGGGUUGGGCUACACACGUGCUACAAUGGUCGGUACAAAGGGCAGCGAAGCCGCGAGGUGGAGCGAAUCUCACAAAACCGAUCGUAGUCCGGAUUGCAGUCUGCAACUCGACUGCAUGAAGCUGGAAUCGCUAGUAA